ACUUAUAUAGUUUAAAUUAAACCUUAUAUUUUCAAUAUAAAAUUAUUAAUAUAUUAAAUUUUAAUUAUAAGUA
Molecule: transfer RNA, 73 nt
Filed under: Pseudomyrmex gracilis
Lineage: Eukaryota; Metazoa; Arthropoda; Insecta; Hymenoptera; Formicidae
Description: tRNA-Glu
Source: RNAcentral